UUGCGAGGUCCAUCCUUAUUUAAUUAAUGGGAAAGUAAACUCUCAACAGUCAACAAUGGUGGGAACAUCCACACACACAUUCUCCAAACAGAGAAAUUCGUAGAUCAUACAAAGGAGAAGAAAGGGUUGUUCGGUGAGGUUUCAUAGAAGGACGAUGGUAAAUUCCAUUCGGCAGCAACAGUUUCAGCAUAUGAACAUUUGCAGCACUUGACAGAAAACAACCGGGGACGAACAGCAACAAUGAUCAAAUUCAGAGUCACCAUUGGAGGAGCAGGCUUGUUCCUGAAUAUCCUGUUAUUUAUCUCCUUCCAAAUGUGAUAAACAAAGCUUUCAAGUCAAAAGACCACUCUGUGCGUGAGAGAUCAUCCAAGAGGCAAUGUGCUCCACUCUGUGUCGAGUCCACUCUCUUGAUGAUCUUCACUCUCCCAUGUGCACAGUGUACUCGACCGUCACUACAUAGAAGAGGUUUCAAAUUUUGGGUUAAGAGGGUUAAAGAGAAGGAAGAACAAGGUAAAGAAGGUUGAGCAAAUAGGGACCCUCACUUUAUUGCCAUCACAACCCCAGUCCAUGGGUUGAUGAUGGGAUGACUGCUCCAUGAAAUAUUGAAAUUACUGGUACAUUACCUCAAAAUCCUAUUCUAGGCAUAUAUAUUUUCUUUGGUUAAUGCAUUACAUACAAUGUCAUUGGGUAUUCUUGGAAUGAUGUCGAUGAGGGCAUUAGUUAGGUUUAAUCUGUACUUGGUGAAGAUAUAAGUCAAAUUCAUCUUUAUGUAAAUUAGUUGAUUUCUUCCUGUAUAUCGUGUUGAUUUUGCACAUAUAAUUCACUUUGGUAUCUUCCAUUUUUUUGUGACAUUCUAA
Molecule: long non-coding RNA, 857 nt
Organism: Cornus florida
Lineage: Eukaryota; Viridiplantae; Streptophyta; Magnoliopsida; Cornales; Cornaceae
Exons: 2
Source: RefSeq, a predicted model, not a curated record